This 363-nucleotide ribosomal RNA is filed under the name uncultured Glomeromycotina. Its description in RNAcentral is "LSU rRNA". The record is from RNAcentral. Lineage: Eukaryota; Fungi; Glomeromycota.
UUUUGAAAGGGAAACGAUUGAAGUCAGUCGUACCUAUGGGUAAUCAGCCUUUUGGGUGUGAUUUUGUGGAGCGUGAAGAGUUAAACGCCUUCAUGCCUGCAUAUUCGUGCACUUUGGGUGUACUUGCCCGUGUGUAAGUUAACAUCAAUUUUGGUGGUCAUAAAAUGGCUGGAGGAAUGUAGCUUCGAUCUUGUAUUGAAGUGUUUAUAGCCUUCGGUAGAUGUGACGAUCGGGAUUGAGGAUUGCAACGGAUACCCUUCGGGGCUACCUGUCUGAUCUCUGAUUGUUGCUCUGGUGCCGAAAGCUUGCUUACGGUUAUCAAAGUCGAUGGUCAAUAGGUUAGAACGGGUUAAAUUCGUUAAG